RNAcentral lists this ribosomal RNA (1787 nucleotides) under fungal sp. RNAcentral describes it as "SSU rRNA". It matches the Rfam family "Eukaryotic small subunit ribosomal RNA", at positions 93 to 1735 of the family's 1831-position model. Lineage: Eukaryota; Fungi. The record is from RNAcentral.
AUGGCUCAUUAAAUCAGUCAUAAUUUAUUUGAUAGUACCUUUACCUGGAUAACCGUGGUAAUUCUAGAGCUAAUACAUGCUAAAAACCUCAACUUCGGAAGGGGUGUAUUUAUUAGAUAAAAAACCAAUGCCCUUCGGGGCUCCUUGGUGAUUCAUAAUAACUUAACGAAUCGCAUGGCCUUGCGCCGGCGAUGGUUCAUUCAAAUUUCUGCCCUAUCAACUUUCGAUGGUACAGUAGUGGUCUACCAUGGUUUUAACGGGUAACGGGGAAUUAGGGUUCUAUUCCGGAGAGGGAGCCUGAGAAACGGCUACCACAUCCAAGGAAGGCAGCAGGCGCGCAAAUUACCCAAUCCCAAUUCGGGGAGGUAGUGACAAUAAAUACUGAUACAGGGCUCUUUCGGGUCUUGUAAUUGGAAUGAGAACAAUUUAAAUCCCUUAACGAGGAACAAUUGGAGGGCAAGUCUGGUGCCAGCAGCCGCGGUAAUUCCAGCUCCAAUAGCGUAUAUUAAAGUUGUUGCAGUUAAAAAGCUCGUAGUUGAACCUUGGGCCUGACCGAUCUGUCCUCCUAAUCGAGCGCACGGAUUCGGUUGGGUCUUUCCUUCUGGGGAGCCCUAUGCCCUUCACUGGGCGUAGUGGGGAACCAGGACUUUUACCUUGAAAAAAUUAGAGUGUUCAAAGCAGGCAUUUGCUCGAAUACAUUAGCAUGGAAUAAUAGAAUAGGACAUCGGUUCUAUUUUGUUGGUUUCUAGGACCGCUGUAAUGAUUAAUAGGGAUAGUCGGGGGCGUCAGUAUUCAAUUGUCAGAGGUGAAAUUCUUGGAUUUAUUGAAGACUAACUAUUGCGAAAGCAUUCGCCAAGGAUGUUUUCAUUAAUCAGUGAACGAAAGUUAGGGGAUCGAAGACGAUCAGAUACCGUCGUAGUCUUAACCAUAAACUAUGCCGACUAGGGAUCGGACGGUGGUUUUUAUGCCCCGUUCGGCACCUUACGAGAAAUCAAAGUUUUUGGGCUCUGGGGGGAGUAUGGUCGCAAGGCUGAAACUUAAAGAAAUUGACGGAAGGGCACCACAAGGCGUGGAGCCUGCGGCUUAAUUUGACUCAACACGGGGAAACUCACCAGGUCCAGACAUGUUUAGGAUUGACAGAUUGAUAGCUCUUUCUUGAUUAUAUGGGUGGUGGUGCAUGGCCGUUCUUAGUUGGUGGAGUGAUUUGUCUGCUUAAUUGCGAUAACGAACGAGACCUUGACCUGCUAAAUAGCUAGAUUGACUUUUGUUGGUCGCCAGCUUCUUAGAGGGACUUUUGGCUCAAGCCAAUGGAAGUACGAGGCAAUAACAGGUCUGUGAUGCCCUGGAACCAUUCUAGGGGCUUUCACGAGUUGCCGGGUAACCGCAGCGACACUACUACUCUGCCGGGAAGUUUUUUCGAGAACCACCCGUAGCCUUGUAACUAAGGUACAGAGACUAAAUGGUGGUGGGCACUACUAGUGUUUCUAAUAUAGUCCAGUUAUCUCUGAAUGAGAUCAAUUAUGCGUAGAUGUUCUGGGCCGCACGCGCGCUACACUGACAGAGCCAGCGAGUACAUCACCUUGGCCGAAAGGUUUGGGUAAUCUUGUUAAACUCUGUCGUGCUGGGGAUAGAGCAUUGCAAUUAUUGCUCUUCAACGAGGAAUGCCUAGUAAGCGCAAGUCAUCAGCUUGCGUUGAUUACGUCCCUGCCCUUUGUACACACCGCCCGUCGCUACUACCGAUUGAAUGGCUCAGUGAGGCCUUGGGACUGGCUCAGGAAGGUCGGCAA